UACGGAGGGUGCAAGCGUUAAUCGGAAUUACUGGGCGUAAAGGGCGCGUAGGCGGUCUUUCAAGUGAGAUGUGAAAUCCCCGGGCUCAACCUGGGAACUGCAUUUGUGACUGCAUCGCUGGAGUGCGGCAGAGGGGGAUGGAAUUCCGCGUGUAGCAGUGAAAUGCGUAGAUAUGCGGAGGAACACCGAUGGCGAAGGCAAUCCCCUGGGCCUGCACUGACGCUCAUGCACGAAAGCGUGGGGAGCAAACAGG
Molecule: ribosomal RNA, 253 nt
Filed under: uncultured bacterium
Lineage: Bacteria
Description: partial 16S ribosomal RNA
Rfam family: Bacterial small subunit ribosomal RNA
Source: RNAcentral